UCCCCAGUAGCUCAGUAGGUAGAGCAGCCGGCUGUUAACCGGCGGGUCCUAGGUUCGAGUCCUAGCUGGGGAGCCA
RNAcentral lists this transfer RNA (76 nucleotides) under Chloroflexota bacterium. RNAcentral's name for it is "tRNA-Asn". It matches the Rfam family "tRNA". Rfam says of the family: Transfer RNA (tRNA) molecules are approximately 80 nucleotides in length. Their secondary structure includes four short double-helical elements and three loops (D, anti-codon, and T loops). Further hydrogen bonds mediate the characteristic L-shaped molecular structure. tRNAs have two regions of fundamental functional importance: the anti-codon, which is responsible for specific mRNA codon recognition, and the 3' end, to which the tRNAs corresponding amino acid is attached (by aminoacyl-tRNA synthetases). tRNAs cope with the degeneracy of the genetic code in two manners: having more than one tRNA (with a specific anti-codon) for a particular amino acid; and 'wobble' base-pairing, i.e. permitting non-standard base-pairing at the 3rd anti-codon position. The record is from RNAcentral. Lineage: Bacteria; Bacillati; Chloroflexota.